This 486-nucleotide ribosomal RNA is filed under the name uncultured bacterium. RNAcentral describes it as "partial 16S ribosomal RNA". It matches the Rfam family "Bacterial small subunit ribosomal RNA", at positions 29 to 507 of the family's 1533-position model. The record is from RNAcentral.
AUUGAACGCUGGCGGCAUGCUUUACACAUGCAAGUCGAGCGGCAGCGCGGGGGCAACCCUGGCGGCGAGCGGCGAACGGGCGAGUAAUGCAUCGGAACGUAUCCUCGAGUGGGGGAUAACCCAGCGAAAGUUGGGCUAAUACCGCAUGAGCUCUGAGGAGGAAAGCGGGGGACCUGCGAGGGCCUCGCGCUGGAGGAGCGGCCGAUGUCCGAUUAGCUAGUUGGUGGGGUAAAGGCUUACCAAGGCGACGAUCGGUAGCUGGUCUGAGAGGAUGAUCAGCCACACUGGGACUGAGACACGGCCCAGACUCCUACGGGAGGCAGCAGUGGGGAAUUUUGGACAAUGGGGGCAACCCUGAUCCAGCCAUGCCGCGUGAGUGAAGAAGGCCUUCGGGUUGUAAAGCUCUUUCGGACGGAACGAAAUGGGCGGGACUAAUACUCCUGUCUGAUGACGGUACCGUAAGAAGAAGCACCGGCUAACUACGUG